CAGAGCAGCUCCUGGGCUGCCAAACUCGGGGUGGUGGGUACUCCCUGUCCACAGUGAGCCACGGCUGGGAUAGGGCUGUAUAACAAGGUCAUAAAUAUUAUUAUGUCAAUAUUUGUGGUUGGUUGGGUGUAUUCUGGUCCAUCCUUUAUGGUAUUUAAAAUGCAAGGCCUCCAUCCCAGCCUUAUAGGCCAGUACCUGCAGCAGCCACGUGGGACCCCCUCAGCAAAAAACCUCCCCCCAGGUUUCUCAGAUGUCACGAUGGUGGUCGUACAUCUCCAACAGCUUCUCAUUUCUUCUGGCUCUGAACUGUGCAGCUUUCACGGGGUGAAAGUUUGGAAUAAUUCUGUCCCCUGCCUGGGUGAGGAGGAGGUGACAGAGCAGCUUUGGUGGCACCAACCAGGGCCAGCCCAUGACAUCUCCCUUGGUUGGGAACCUUUAAAUAUUUUUAAGCAAGCAAGGUGCAAAACAAAUGCCUUUGUUCCUUGGAUGAAUCACACUGGGAUCUGCUGGAGAACAGCCAAUACUGCCUGAUUUGUAAAAGUAUAAAACUUCCCCCGUGGCUUUGCAAGGGGACAGGCAAACAGCCAGAGAGCUGUGAUGUCAAAACCACGCUGUACAAGUCAAAACCAGGUCUGUGUGGUUGACUGUCCUCCCCAACUCAGUGGCUCAAAUGACUCAACAACAGGAAAUCUCCCACACAUCGAGAGCUGCCCUGCAAGGACACGUUCCUGAUGAGCUUCUGUUGGUCCAUUUGGUGCUGGUAAUAACUUACACAAGACCCCAGAGGACCAAAAGCUGCUGCCCCUGUUGGUUUGGGGUGCAGGGAACCAGGUCGUGCUCCUGCAACACAGGAGGAGGAACCAGAGCAGGGUUUCCUGCUGCCGAGUGCAUCCACCCCACAGAGCCCAGGGAA
Molecule: long non-coding RNA, 913 nt
Organism: Lepidothrix coronata (blue-crowned manakin)
Lineage: Eukaryota; Metazoa; Chordata; Aves; Passeriformes; Pipridae
Exons: 3
Source: RefSeq, a predicted model, not a curated record